RNAcentral lists this long non-coding RNA (329 nucleotides) under Haliotis rubra (blacklip abalone). RNAcentral's name for it is "uncharacterized LOC124271591, transcript variant X1". Lineage: Eukaryota; Metazoa; Mollusca; Gastropoda; Lepetellida; Haliotidae. The record is from RNAcentral.
CUGUCUUGAUGUAGAUCUGAUCGUUACUUUGUCCCUGUCUUGAUGUAGAUCUGAACGUUACUAUGUGCCUGUCAUGAUGUAGAGCUGAACGUUACUAUGUGCCUGUGCUGAUGUAGAUCUGAACGUUACUAUGUCCCUGUAUUGAUGUAGAUCUGAACGUUACUAUGUCCCUGUGCUGAUGUAGAUCUGAACGUUACUAUGUCCCAGUCUUGAUGUACCUUUUUCGAAUCUGCCAGAUUUGUCAGAGGGUCAGACGCUAUUCGUGAACACUGCUCGUCUCAUUAUUGUCGUCAGAAGCUAAUGAUAUUGAAAUAAAAAGUUGAACACAG